RNAcentral lists this long non-coding RNA (1115 nucleotides) under Lathyrus oleraceus (garden pea). RNAcentral's name for it is "Pisum sativum (pea) long non-coding RNA (PSAT_LNC021512)". Lineage: Eukaryota; Viridiplantae; Streptophyta; Magnoliopsida; Fabales; Fabaceae. The record is from RNAcentral.
UUAGAUGGAGCAGAUAAGCUCAAUCGCAGGGGAGUGUGAACCAGCCUAAGGAGGGUGAAGCCAACCAGAUUCACAUGGGCUUAGAAGGAUUGCAUAAGCCCAAUAUGAAUCGAUAUGAAGGGAUACGGAGGUCCAUUCAUCCUCCAUCUCCUAACCAAAACGAAAAUAAACUUCUUCACCUAAACAAAACAAAUCUCUAGUGCAUGGUUCUCACACUGAUCAAAUUGAAUGCCGAAUGAAAACGGAAUGAGAUUUGACCAUGAUUACACCAUUGUAAAUGAAUCGACCAACGAAAAGAGAUAAGGGAGCCUACCGACAAUGGUGAAGGCGGAUCCUCCGACGAACGUCAGAUUCGAAGCUCGGGUAUUUGCUCUUCGUACUAGAUGAUUCUUCAAUCUUCUUCCCUUGGUUUUGUUAUUGGUUGUUUCUAUGACGUGAGGCUUGGAUUUGUUGCUCGGUUUUGUGAUGAAUUGUGAUUCGUCUUCGUGAAUAUUCACAGGAAUUGGUGGUGCGGUGAGAGCUAUGAGUUGAAGGAAUUACGGUGUCGGUGAUGUAAUGAGUUCGACUUGCAGAGUUUAAAACAAACGGAUGAGAAUGGUGCAAGAAGUUCGUUGUGCAGAUGGUGGUGGUUCGUCCGUGAUCCAACCGAGGAAGAAGAACUCUUCAUUGCUAGUUCAUGAUCUUAUAUAUAACUCAUUUACAAUUGGAUGUGAGGUUUUAAUUUUGAUGUUGCAGGUCGCGUUUUUCAGUGCGUUUGCAUUUUAUCAUUCGUCUUGCAAAUUCAUUUGUUGCAUUCUUUCGUGCUGCUUACGUGUACUCAACCUUGCACUUCUUUCACCUGCAUUUUUUUUUCCUUUUUUGUCUUAUUUGGUGCUAUUUGGAAUUGGAUUUUUCACUCCUGUCUUCGUUACAACCACCAUAAUUUUCUUUAAAAAUUGAAUAUAUGUACUAAAUUUGUUGAAAAUGACAAUGGGGAUAAUUAGAAAACAUACGGGAGGUUUGCAAUUGAAAUAUAAGUCUUAGUAAUCAUUUUAUUCCAAAACCGUGAACUCAGACGAGGUAAAAGCCUUCAAAAUCCUUAUUCAAACCGUAAUAUUUUGGAUCGAACUCUGGUG